GCCCUGACAGCAGCAGUGAAAGAUGAUGAAGAAAAAACACAGAAGUGGAAGUAAGGCCAGGUACUGCUCUCCCCACAGGGUCUGGAGGUGAACCUGCCUGAAUGCACUGGGACUUUGCUGCCCUCUGACAACGAACUGUGAGUGGGAUGCAGCGAAGGGAAGGGAUAAAAUGGUGUGCUAAAGGUUCCUUGGACAUUCACGCUGGCAAGUGGACAAACUGAGAUGAAGGACACUGUGAAGAUGCUUUGGGAUGUUUGUCAAGUAAUACAGGACAAAAGGCAAGAACUGGUACUGAAGAAACAAUUUGCAGCUGAAGAAGCUGAAUGUGAAGCUGUGGUCUUGUGCUCAUCUAAAGCUGCAGUAGUUUGGUCUUGCACUUAAGGCACUGGACUCAGAAUCAGAAGAUCUGGAUACAGUUUCUGGCUCUGCGAGAUUUUCUGCCUACCCCCGCUGCAAGUCACUUAAUGUCUCUGUGGCUAAAUUCCCCAUCUAAAAAUCGGGGAUAAUAAUAAGCUGUUCACGACUUUUUCCAAUUUGUCCACAUCUCUACUGAAAUUUGGCACCAAGAACUGAACGCAAUACUCCAGCUGAGGCCUUAUCAGCGCAGAACAGACUGGAAGAAUUACUUCUCAUGUUUUGCUUACAAC
Molecule: long non-coding RNA, 647 nt
Organism: Mauremys mutica (yellowpond turtle)
Lineage: Eukaryota; Metazoa; Chordata; Testudines; Geoemydidae
Exons: 3
Source: RefSeq, a predicted model, not a curated record